UACGUAGGGUGCGAGCGUUGUCCGGAAUUACUGGGCGUAAAGAGCUCGUAGGUGGUUUGUCGCGUCGUUUGUGUAAGUCCAUGGCUUAACUGUGGGACUGCAGGCGAUACGGGCAUAACUUGAGUGCUGUAGGGGAGACUGGAAUUCCUGGUGUAGCGGUGAAAUGCGCAGAUAUCAGGAGGAACACCGAUGGCGAAGGCAGGUCUCUGGGCAGUAACUGACGCUGAGGAGCGAAAACAUGGGUAGCGAACAGGAUUAGAUACCCUGGUAGUCCAUGCCGUAAACGGUGGGCGCUAGGUGUGAGCUCCUUCCACGGGGUUCGUGCCGUAGCUAACGCAUUAAGCGCCCCGCCUGGGGAGUACGGCCGCAAGGCUAAAACUCAAAGGAAUUGACGGGGGCCCGCACAAGCGGCGGAGCAUGUGGAUUAAUUCGAUGCAACGCGAAGAACCUUACCUGGGCUUGACAUGCACUGGAUCGGGCCAGAGAUGGUCUUUCCCUUUGUGGCUGGUGUGCAGGUGGUGCAUGGUUGUCGUCAGCUCGUGUCGUGAGAUGUUGGGUUAAGUCCCGCAACGAGCGCAACCCUUGUCUUAUGUUGCCAGCAUUUGGUUGGGAACUCAUGAGAGACUGCCGGGGUUAACUCGGAGGAAGGUGGGGAUGACGUCAAAUCAUCAUGCCCCUUAUGUCCAGGGCUUCACACAUGCUACAAUGGUCGGUACAGCGCGUGUGCGAUACUGUGAGGUGGAGCUAAUCGCUAGAAAGCCGGUCGUAGUUCGGAUUGGGGUCUGCAACUCGACCCCAUGAAGUCGGAGUCGCUAGUAAUCGCAGAUCAGCAACGCUGCGGUGAAUACGUUCCCGGGCCU
This 860-nucleotide ribosomal RNA is filed under the name uncultured Actinomycetes bacterium. RNAcentral describes it as "bacterial SSU rRNA". It matches the Rfam family "Bacterial small subunit ribosomal RNA", at positions 524 to 1381 of the family's 1533-position model. Lineage: Bacteria; Bacillati; Actinomycetota; Actinomycetes. The record is from RNAcentral.